This 483-nucleotide ribosomal RNA is filed under the name uncultured bacterium. RNAcentral describes it as "partial 16S ribosomal RNA". It matches the Rfam family "Bacterial small subunit ribosomal RNA", at positions 29 to 523 of the family's 1533-position model. The record is from RNAcentral.
AAUGAACGUUGGCGGCGUGGAUUAGGCAUGCGAGUCGAGCGAGAACCGUAGCAAUACGGGGACAGCGGCGAAAGGGACAGUAACGGGUAGAUUAUCUGCCCUCAGGUUUGGGAUAGCUGCGGGAAACUGCAAGUAAUACCAGAUAAUAUCUCCGGAUCAGAGGUGUGAUUCCGCCUGAGGAUGAGUCUGCCUCCUAUUAGCUUGUUGGUGGGGUAACGGCCUACCAAGGCAUUGAUGGGUAGCGGGUGUGAGAGCACGACCCGCGUCAUUGGGACUGAGACACUGCCCAGACACCUACGGGUGGCUGCAGUCGAGAAUCUUCGGCAAUGGACGCAAGUCUGACCGAGCGACGCCGCGUGUGGGAUGAAGGCCUUCGGGUUGUAAACCACUGUCAGAGGGGAUGAAAUGCAGGUGGGUACUCCCAUUUGUUUGACAUAGCCUCAGAGGAAGUACGGGCUAAGUUCGUGCCAGCCGCCGCCGUAA